AACGCUGGCGGCAGGCCUAACACAUGCAAGUCGAGCGAGGACUUCGGUCCUAGCGGCGGACGGGUGAGUAACGCGUGGGAACGUGCCCUUUGCUUCGGAAUAGCCCCUGGAAACGGGGAGUAAUACCGGAUGUGCCCUUUGGGGGAAAGAUUUAUCGGCAAAGGAUCGGCCCGCGUUGGAUUAGGUAGUUGGUGGGGUAAUGGCCUACCAAGCCGACGAUCCAUAGCUGGUUUGAGAGGAUGAUCAGCCACACUGGGACUGAGACACGGCCCAGACUCCUACGGGAGGCAGCAGUGGGGAAUCUUAGACAAUGGGCGCAAGCCUGAUCUAGCCAUGCCGCGUGAGCGAUGAAGGCCUUAGGGUUGUAAAGCUCUUUCAGGGGGGAAGAUAAUGACGGUACCCCCAGAAGAAGCCCCGGCUAACUCCGUGCCAGCAGCCGCGGUAAUACGGAGGGGGCUAGCGUUGUUCGGAAUUACUGGGCGUAAAGCGCACGUAGGCGGAUCAGAAAGUCAGAGGUGAAAUCCCAGGGCUCAACCUUGGAACUGCCUUUGAAACUCCUGGGUCUUGAGGUCNAGAGAAGUGAGUGGAAU
RNAcentral lists this ribosomal RNA (590 nucleotides) under uncultured bacterium. RNAcentral's name for it is "bacterial SSU rRNA". It matches the Rfam family "Bacterial small subunit ribosomal RNA", at positions 32 to 667 of the family's 1533-position model. The record is from RNAcentral.